Molecule: long non-coding RNA, 442 nt
Organism: Culex quinquefasciatus (southern house mosquito)
Lineage: Eukaryota; Metazoa; Arthropoda; Insecta; Diptera; Culicidae
Exons: 2
Source: RefSeq, a predicted model, not a curated record
UAUUCCACUUUCCGUCAAAAUGUUGUCAUGCUGCGGUGAUUGAAAAAUGUCUGUUCAUUAUCCGCUACCAAUAGCUUCACAUUGCGCGCAGUUCUUUUUGCGGUGAACGUUAGUUCUACAUUUUGGAUUGAUAUCAACAAUACUAUCUGGAGCAAAUCAUAAAUAUAAAAGUAAACAAAACAAGCAGGAUGUGCAAAGUUUAUGUUAAAUUUAGUCACGAUGCAGCAUCAUGUUUUUAAUUAGUUCCGAAACGAGUCUAGAUUGUCUCGCAGAGGUGGAUUGACAGUGGAGAGUGGAGCGUGAAUUAAAGAAUUGACUACCAAGAUGAAGAGGGGGCGCAAGGUUGCCGAACGUUUGUUCCGUCACGUGAAUCUGUUCUUGUAGGCGUUUUCAUGAGGUUUGAUUUGUUGAAAUAAAACGCAUUUUAGUUUAGAUUUUCCAA